UGAGGAAUAUUGGUCAAUGGGCGAGAGCCUGAACCAGCCAAGUAGCGUGCAGGAUGACGGCCCUAUGGGUUGUAAACUGCUUUUAUGCGGGGAUAAAGUGUGCGACGUGUCGUGCAUUGCAGGUACCGCAUGAAUAAGGACCGGCUAAUUCCGUGCCAGCAGCCGCGGUAAUACGGAAGGUCCGGGCGUUAUCCGGAUUUAUUGGGUUUAAAGGGAGCGCAGGCCGCCAGAUAAGCGUGUUGUGAAAUGUACCGGCUCAACCGGUGAAUUGCAGCGCUAACUGUUUGGCUUGAGUGCACGGUAAGCAGACGGAAUUCAUGGUGUAGCGGUGAAAUGCUUAGAUAUCAUGAGGAACUCCGAUUGCGAAGGCAACUUGCUGCAGUGCGACUGACGCUGAUGCUCGAAGGUGCGAGUAUCAAACAGG
RNAcentral lists this ribosomal RNA (424 nucleotides) under Fusobacteriota bacterium. Its description in RNAcentral is "Fusobacteria bacterium partial 16S ribosomal RNA". It matches the Rfam family "Bacterial small subunit ribosomal RNA", at positions 355 to 776 of the family's 1533-position model. Lineage: Bacteria; Fusobacteriati; Fusobacteriota. The record is from RNAcentral.